CUUUCCCUCAUUGGCUGAGUGCAAGAAAAGGACGCCUUGAUAACCAAGCAGCUCUCCUGGCUAGAGACUGCAAGUCUAAGGUAGAUCCAAUUGGGAAGAAAAAUGAAGGCGUCCACUGGUGCUUUGCUCACGUGCUUGUGGCUGCAGCUGAACUGGGCCCUUGGAGAGCAGGUGGAGCAGCACCCUUCCACCCUGAGAGUCCAGGAGGGAGACAGCUCUGUUAUCAACUGCACUUACUCAGACAGCGCUUCAUCCUACUUCCCCUGGUACAAACAAGAGGCUGGGAAGGGUCCCCAGCUCAUCAUUGACAUUCGCUCAAACGUGGGGAGAAACCAAAAGCAAAGACUCCUCGUUUUAAUGGACAAGGCAGCCAGGCACGUCUCCCUGCACAUCACCGCUGCCCGGCCCGCGGACUCUGCUGUGUACUUCUGCGCAGCUGGUGCACACUGCUGCGUCGGCACCUGCCGCCUGUGCGAAAACCUGGCCCUGCGCUGGGCCCAGCCCUGUCCUCUGGCACAGGCUUUCCAAUAUUUACCGUGUUGGUUUGUAAGUGACAACUAUCACAGAGACAUUAAAAAGCAUAUAGUCUGACAGGCUCAAGAUGAUUCAGGAAGGCUUAGCUUCAGGACAUUUUGUUAGUACUAAAUUCUUGUGUUUAACAGAUAGUUUUCCUGAUUUAUUUUUUAUUGUUUAUAUUUAAAUUGUACCAAUGUGAUGUUCUGAUAUUCAUAUCCAUAGUGGAAAUAAACAGUUUCAUGCCCUCUUGUGUUUAGCAAUCCUAAUACUCCGUAGAGUAGAUUCUUACAGGGAAUUAGUCGUGCUUUGUGUUGAUUUUCAGGUUUUAAAAAUGGGCUUAUGAUACAAUGGAGUAUUACUCAGUUAUAAAAAAGAUAAACUCAA
Chinchilla lanigera (long-tailed chinchilla) is the source of this 900-nucleotide non-coding RNA. Lineage: Eukaryota; Metazoa; Chordata; Mammalia; Rodentia; Chinchillidae. The record is from the annotation of a RefSeq genome assembly.